GAGGGGUAUAUAUCUUCGGGUAUAGAGACCGGCGCACGGGUGCGUAACGCGUAUGCAAUCUACCUUUUACAGAGGGAUAGCCCAGAGAAAUUUGGAUUAAUACCUCAUAGUAUAGCAAUCUCGCAUGAGAUCACUAUUAAAGUCACAACGGUAAAAGAUGAGCAUGCGUCCCAUUAGCUAGUUGGUAAGGUAACGGCUUACCAAGGCUACGAUGGGUAGGGGUCCUGAGAGGGAGAUCCCCCACACUGGUACUGAGACACGGACCAGACUCCUACGGGAGGCAGCAGUGAGGAAUAUUGGACAAUGGGCGCAAGCCUGAUCCAGCCAUGCCGCGUGCAGGAUGACGGUCCUAUGGAUUGUAAACUGCUUUUGUACGAGAAGAAACACCCCGACGUGUCGGGACUUGACGGUAUCGUAAGAAUAAGGAUCGGCUAACUCCGUG
Molecule: ribosomal RNA, 442 nt
Filed under: uncultured bacterium
Lineage: Bacteria
Description: bacterial SSU rRNA
Rfam family: Bacterial small subunit ribosomal RNA
Source: RNAcentral